This 21-nucleotide ribosomal RNA is filed under the name Cladosporium cladosporioides. RNAcentral's name for it is "partial 18S ribosomal RNA". The record is from RNAcentral. Lineage: Eukaryota; Fungi; Ascomycota; Dothideomycetes; Cladosporiales; Cladosporiaceae.
UACCUGGCGGGAAGGACAUUA